This is a non-coding RNA of Acanthosepion pharaonis, 116 nucleotides long. The record is from the annotation of a GenBank genome assembly. Lineage: Eukaryota; Metazoa; Mollusca; Cephalopoda; Sepiida; Sepiidae.
UUACGGCCACAUCAUGUUGAAACACCAGUUCCAUUGUACCAUCACCAAAGUUAAGCAACAUCAAGCCUGAUCAGCACUUAGAUGGGUGACCACCUGGGAAUACCAGGUGCUGUAAG